GAUGUGGUUAGUCCGCAACGACGCGCAACCCUUAUCCCUAGUUGCCAUCAGGUAAAGCUGGGAACUCUGUGGAGACUGCCGGUGGUCAAACCGGAGGAAGGUGGGGAUGACGUCAAGUCCUCAUGGCCCUUAUGACCAGGGCUACACACGUACUACAAUGGCCGGUACAAAGAGUUGCGAUACCGCGAGGUGGAGCUAAUCUCAUAAAGCCGGUCUCAGUUCGGAUUGGAGUCUGCAACUCGACUCCAUGAAGUUGGAAUCGCUAGUAAUCGCGGAUCAGCACGCCGCGGUGAAUACGUUCCCGGGCCUU
This 310-nucleotide ribosomal RNA is filed under the name uncultured Geobacter sp. RNAcentral's name for it is "bacterial SSU rRNA". It matches the Rfam family "Bacterial small subunit ribosomal RNA", at positions 1073 to 1382 of the family's 1533-position model. Lineage: Bacteria; Pseudomonadati; Thermodesulfobacteriota; Desulfuromonadia; Geobacterales; Geobacteraceae. The record is from RNAcentral.